GAAGAGCCCAAACCAACAAGCUUGCUUGUUGGGGUUGUAGGACACUCUAUACGGAGUUACAAAGGACGACAUUAGACGAAUCAUCUGGAAAGAUGAAUCAAAGAAGGUAAUAAUCCUGUAGUCGAAAAUGUUGUCUCUCUUGAGUGGAUCCUGAGUACGACGGAGCACGUGAAAUUCCGUCGGAAUCUGGGAGGACCAUCUCCUAAGGCUAAAUACUCUCUAGUGACCGAUAGUGAACCAGUACCGUGAGGGAAAGGUGAAAAGCACCCCGGAAGGGGAGUGAAAUAGAACCUGAAACCGUGUGCUUACAAGUAGUCAGAGCCCGUUAAUGGGUGAUGGCGUGCCUUUUGUAGAAUGAACCGGCGAGUUACGAUUUGAUGCAAGGUUAAGCAGUAAAUGUGGAGCCGUAGCGAAAGCGAGUCUGAAUAGGGCGUUUAGUAUUUGGUCGUAGACCCGAAACCAGGUGAUCUACCCUUGGUCAGGUUGAAGUUCAGGUAACACUGAAUGGAGGACCGAACCGACUUACGUUGAAAAGUGAGCGGAUGAACUGAGGGUAGCGGAGAAAUUCCAAUCGAACCUGGAGAUAGCUGGUUCUCUCCGAAAUAGCUUUAGGGCUAGCCUCAAGUGAUGAUUAUUGGAGGUAGAGCACUGUUUGGACGAGGGGCCCCUCUCGGGUUACCGAAUUCAGACAAACUCCGAAUGCCAAUUAAUUUAACUUGGGAGUCAGAACAUGGGUGAUAAGGUCCGUGUUCGAAAGGGAAACAGCCCAGACCACCAGCUAAGGUCCCAAAAUAUAUGUUAAGUGGAAAAGGAUGUGGCGUUGCCCAGACAACUAGGAUGUUGGCUUAGAAGCAGCCAUCAUUUAAAGAGUGCGUAAUAGCUCACUAGUCGAGUGACACUGCGCCGAAAAUGUACCGGGGCUAAACAUAUUACCGAAGCUGUGGAUUGUCCUUUGGACAAUGGUAGGAGAGCGUUCUAAGGGCGUUGAAGCAUGAUCGUAAGGACAUGUGGAGCGCUUAGAAGUGAGAAUGCCGGUGUGAGUAGCGAAAGACGGGUGAGAAUCCCGUCCACCGAUUGACUAAGGUUUCCAGAGGAAGGCUCGUCCGCUCUGGGUUAGUCGGGUCCUAAGCUGAGGCCGACAGGCGUAGGCGAUGGAUAACAGGUUGAUAUUCCUGUACCACCUAUAAUCGUUUUAAUCGAUGGGGGGACGCAGUAGGAUAGGCGAAGCGUGCGAUUGGAUUGCACGUCUAAGCAGUAAGGCUGAGUAUUAGGCAAAUCCGGUACUCGUUAAGGCUGAGCUGUGAUGGGGAGAAGACAUUGUGUCUUCGAGUCGUUGAUUUCACACUGCCGAGAAAAGCCUCUAGAUAGAAAAUAGGUGCCCGUACCGCAAACCGACACAGGUAGUCAAGAUGAGAAUUCUAAGGUGAGCGAGCGAACUCUCGUUAAGGAACUCGGCAAAAUGACCCCGUAACUUCGGGAGAAGGGGUGCUCUUUAGGGUUAACGCCCAGAAGAGCCGCAGUGAAUAGGCCCAAGCGACUGUUUAUCAAAAACACAGGUCUCUGCUAAACCGUAAGGUGAUGUAUAGGGGCUGACGCCUGCCCGGUGCUGGAAGGUUAAGAGGAGUGGUUAGCUUCUGCGAAGCUACGAAUCGAAGCCCCAGUAAACGGCGGCCGUAACUAUAACGGUCCUAAGGUAGCGAAAUUCCUUGUCGGGUAAGUUCCGACCCGCACGAAAGGCGUAACGAUUUGGGCACUGUCUCAACGAGAGACUCGGUGAAAUCAUAGUACCUGUGAAGAUGCAGGUUACCCGCGACAGGACGGAAAGA
RNAcentral lists this ribosomal RNA (1826 nucleotides) under Staphylococcus aureus. RNAcentral's name for it is "partial 23S ribosomal RNA". It matches the Rfam family "Bacterial large subunit ribosomal RNA", at positions 262 to 2088 of the family's 2925-position model. The record is from RNAcentral. Lineage: Bacteria; Bacillati; Bacillota; Bacilli; Caryophanales; Staphylococcaceae.